RNAcentral lists this long non-coding RNA (489 nucleotides) under Marmota monax (woodchuck). The record is from RNAcentral. Lineage: Eukaryota; Metazoa; Chordata; Mammalia; Rodentia; Sciuridae.
CUAUAAUAUCCCCAGCCUUCUGGUAAGGUAAAAAUUUAAUUAGUAAAAUAUAAGACACUAAAAUUCAGGAAUGUGAAUUAAUUGGGGGAAAGGAUUGUAAAUGUUGCUCUUAUACCAUAUUACAUUGAACACUGUUUGGAUGCAUGUUGAAAGACAUGCUUUUUGUAAAACUCAAUAUAGGAGCUGUGUCUACAAUUAAAAGUGAAACAUUUUGGCAUGUUUGUUAAUUCUAGUUUCAUUUAAUAACCUGUAAGGCAUGUAAGUUUUAAGUUUUUUUUUUUUUUUUUUUUUAAGUUAAUGGGGAAAAUUUGAGACGCAAUACCAAUACUUUAGGAUUUCGGUCUUGGUGUUUGUAUGAAAUUCUGAGGCCUUGAUUUAAAUCUUCAUUGUAUUGUGAUUUCCUUUUAGGUGUAUUGCACUAAGUGAAACUUGUCAAAUAAAUCUUCCUUUUAAAAACUGAAAAAUAAAUAAAUAAAGUCUAUUACAAAA